Molecule: non-coding RNA, 279 nt
Organism: Mus musculus (house mouse)
Lineage: Eukaryota; Metazoa; Chordata; Mammalia; Rodentia; Muridae
Source: Rfam
GCCGGGCGUGGUGGCGCACGCCUUUAAUCCCAGCACUCAGGAGGCAGAGGCAGGUGGAUUUCUGAGUUCGAGGCCAGCCUGGUCUACAAAGUGAGUUCCAGGACAGCCAGGGCUAUAGAGAAACCCUGUCUCGAAAAAGCCAAAAAAAAAAAAAAAAGAAUCUUGAAAUGUCUUCUUUUUUUUUCACCCCCGAGACAGGGUUUCUCUGUAUAGUCAUGGCUGUCCUGGAACUCACUCUGUAGACCAGGCUGGCCUUGAACUCAGGAAUCCGCUGCCUUU